AACCCCUGUGAACAUACCUUAAUGUUGCCUCGGCGGAUCAGCCCGCGCCCCGUAAAACGGGACGGCCCGCCAGAGGACCCAAACUCUAAUGUUUCUUAUUGUAACUUCUGAGUAAAACAAACAAAUAAAUCAAAACUUUCAACAACGGAUCUCUUGGUUCUGGCAUCGAUGAAGAACGCAGCAAAAUGCGAUAAGUAAUGUGAAUUGCAGAAUUCAGUGAAUCAUCGAAUCUUUGAACGCACAUUGCGCCCGCUGGUAUUCCGGCGGGCAUGCCUGUUCGAGCGUCAUUUCAACCCUCAAGCCCCCGGGUUUGGUGUUGGGGAUCGGCUCUGCCUUACGGCGGCGCCGCCCCCGAAAUACAUUGGCGGUCUCGCUGCAGCCUCCAUUGCGUAGUAGCUAACACCUCGCAACUGGAACGCGGCGCGGCCAUGCCGUAAAACCCCAACUUCUGAAUGUUGACCUCGGAUCAGGUAGGAAUACCCGCUGAACUUAAGCAUAUCAAUAAGCGGAGGAA
Molecule: ribosomal RNA, 514 nt
Filed under: fungal sp.
Lineage: Eukaryota; Fungi
Description: eukaryotic LSU rRNA
Rfam family: 5.8S ribosomal RNA (bases 134-287)
Source: RNAcentral